This 1189-nucleotide long non-coding RNA is filed under the name Equus caballus (horse). RNAcentral describes it as "lncRNA (ENSECAG00000055437.1)". Lineage: Eukaryota; Metazoa; Chordata; Mammalia; Perissodactyla; Equidae. The record is from RNAcentral.
AUGAGGAAGCAGACCUCAGCCAAUGACUGACAGACUCAGGGUGUGAAAGGCUGGCCCCUUUGCCUCAAAGGGAACUAACUCAGGUGUAAUGUUUGCUCAAGGACUUACCUGUGGAAUUACACUGAAAUUAGUCUCUGCUGCAACCACAAACUUGUUAGUUUUUAAUCCUUACCCUCUCCUGCCUCCCUCACUCCCCUUCUCCUGGUGGGUGCCUUCUAAUAAGCCACUGAACUUCUCCAUCUCUGCUUCCGGAAAACUCAGCCUAAGGCAAUUGUGGCCCAGGGUUUCAUCGGUUCAGAUCCUGGGUGCAGACAUGUCACCGCUCAUCAGAAGGACCUACGACUAGAAUAUACAACAAUAAAGUGCUGCUGCCAAUGAAGAGCUGUAUUAGAAGAGAGAUGAAGAUGAUUGGAGUUGAAAGGAGUGAAGAACUGUAAGCCAAUAGUGGACCAUUCCUCAGCAUUGACAAUGACGUCACUGAGGAAAAAAGGAAGAGUGUGAUAUAGGAACAACUGAUGUAGUUACUGAGAUCUUUCGACUGGGCAGUAAUAAGGCAUAAUAGAAAAUAUUAUGUUCUCAUUUUCUCAACCUGUCCAGCUUCAAACCACAUAUUUUAAGUAAGCUCAUAUGUAUAAUUUUCAUUCUUAAAUGCAUAAAAGAGCAUGAAAACAGAUCUUGUUUUUUUUUUAAUGGUUUGUUUAAUAUCUCAGAUAAAAGAACACUCACACGAAGUUAGAGCUGAUAUCCUUUUGUUAUUCUAAUAUGCUAAAGCACCUACCUGUGACUCAAUUGAUGAAUGUUUGGAACUUCGAGGAAAUAAGAUUAACUGUUUGGUAAUAAAAUAGAGCUUGCUAAUUCAUAAGUGAGAUAUGUCUUAAAAAGUGAAACUCUGAUUUAGAAAAUAUGUUUAAAAUUGAUUAUAAUUUACAUAACUUUUCAUUCAACUAGUAAUUUACAUUAUGUUCAUUCAAUAUGAUUUCACUUGCCCUGUGAAAUGGAAUAUAUAUACAGUUGAUUCUCAUUAUUCAUGUAGUUAUGUUUUAUAAUGUUGCACAAACACUGAAUUAACAAACCAUUGCUCCUAGGGGAAAUAUAGGAUUAGGUCCCUGUGAGCCUCUGGUCACAAAAUUCUUGUUAACUAAUCAACACGUAACCUUGUUUUGUGUGUGCUUCUGUUGAAAGACACCUU